Molecule: unclassified non-coding RNA, 240 nt
Filed under: Hevea brasiliensis (rubber tree)
Lineage: Eukaryota; Viridiplantae; Streptophyta; Magnoliopsida; Malpighiales; Euphorbiaceae
Source: RNAcentral
CACUGCAAAGCUAGCAGGCUCCGUGACCUCAAUGCGACCCCAUUUGUCAACGGCUAACCUCAUUGAGCCUUUGAACAUAUCUAUCUUUGAAUUGCGAAUGAUCACAGUAGUAUCUGGUUUCAUCAUGUCAACCUGAUCGUUGCGAGCCGUGAAUAGGAUGGUGCCGGUCUCAUCUCCGAUGAGGCACUCGGCGAUCCGUGACUGGCGGAGGUGCGGCGCCGUACCCUGGCCCUUGUGCAG